AAUAAGGUUUGCAAAGAACUUGAUAAAACAAACUUAGGUCUAAAAGCAAGAUAUAUAAAACCCUAAAAACGUCCAGGGACUAAUAAUGCAAAUAGGAAAGUUUCUGGGGCAAAUUUCCUCUUCUGUAAACUUGAAAGCGUCUAGGGUUUUUGCUGGGGCCGAAACUGGUGUCGAUUGACACCAAGAGUGUGUCGAUCGACACUCCUCGCUGAUUCCUGAACCAAAGUCAUCCUUAGCUUCCUUUUUCUUAGUGUUUGCUCCAAAAUGUCUCCUUAUCUCUAUUGUUGUCCCAUUGCAUAGAGUACCUGAAAAGACACUAAAAACACUCGAGAAAUAACAUAAAGACUCAAAAUCCUAUACCUAAAACAUAGUUAAAAUCGGUGAAAAUCGGGUUAUAUCAACUCCCCUAGACUUAGCUUUUGCUUGCCCUCAAGCAAAACACAAAAGCUGAACCCGUGGAAGAGGUUUUGAAAACAAAGGAACUCCCAACAUUCUCUAGCCUAUUGCCAUGAUCUUUCAAACUAAGUCCAUAUGCCUAACAAGUCUAAUCAAAUCCUAACCAACAUAUACUUCUCUGCAAGCUUACACAACAUUCUAGAUUCCAUACCUAAGUUCCACAACUAUAUCCACCAUGCUUUCAUCGCUGGGUCUCAUCAAACAAGCCAGCAUUCAAGAUCCUUCUAGACUCAUUCAUGUACUAUACCAUGAUAAAUUGACCAUUCUUUUAUAUA
RNAcentral lists this small RNA (731 nucleotides) under Arabidopsis thaliana (thale cress). RNAcentral describes it as "ATSL155420". The record is from RNAcentral. Lineage: Eukaryota; Viridiplantae; Streptophyta; Magnoliopsida; Brassicales; Brassicaceae.